This 61-nucleotide transfer RNA is filed under the name Pseudoniphargus sorbasiensis. RNAcentral's name for it is "tRNA-Ser". The record is from RNAcentral. Lineage: Eukaryota; Metazoa; Arthropoda; Malacostraca; Amphipoda; Allocrangonyctidae.
GACUAUUAAGUUUUAAACAUAUGUUUUGAAAACAUAGAUAGGAGGUAAACUCCAAUAGUUU